UGGGGAAUAUUGCACAAUGGGCGCAAGCCUGAUGCAGCAAUGCCGCGUGUGUGAAGAAGGCCUGCGGGUUGUAAAGCACUUUCAGUCGGGAAGAAAAGCUGAGUGUUAAUACCACUCAGUCUUGACGUUACUGACAGAAGAAGCACCGGCUAACUCCGUGCCAGCAGCCGCGGUAAUACGGAGGGUGCGAGCGUUAAUCGGAAUUACUGGGCGUAAAGAGCGCGUAGGUGGUUUGGUAAGUCGGAUGUGAAAUCCCCGGGCUUAACUUGGGAAUUGCAUUCGAUACUGCCAGGCUUGAGUGUGGUAGAGGGAAGUGGAAUUCCCGGUGUAGCGGUGAAAUGCGUAGAUAUCGGGAGGAACAUCAGUGGCGAAGGCGACUUCCUGGACCAACACUGACACUGAGGCGCGAAAGCGUGGGGAGCAAACAGGAUUAGAUACCCCCGUAGUCC
RNAcentral lists this ribosomal RNA (449 nucleotides) under uncultured prokaryote. RNAcentral's name for it is "bacterial SSU rRNA". It matches the Rfam family "Bacterial small subunit ribosomal RNA", at positions 355 to 796 of the family's 1533-position model. The record is from RNAcentral.